CGGACGGGUGAGUAACGCGUAAAGAACUUGCCUCACAGUUAGGGACAACAUUUGGAAACGAAUGCUAAUACCUGAUAUUAUGAUUUUAGGGCAUCCUAAGAUUAUGAAAGCUAUAUGCGCUGUGAGAGAGCUUUGCGUCCCAUUAGCUAGUUGGAGAGGUAACGGCUCACCAAGGCGAUGAUGGGUAGCCGGCCUGAGAGGGUGAACGGCCACAAGGGGACUGAGACACGGCCCUU
RNAcentral lists this ribosomal RNA (236 nucleotides) under uncultured Fusobacteriaceae bacterium. RNAcentral's name for it is "partial 16S ribosomal RNA". It matches the Rfam family "Bacterial small subunit ribosomal RNA", at positions 99 to 334 of the family's 1533-position model. The record is from RNAcentral. Lineage: Bacteria; Fusobacteriati; Fusobacteriota; Fusobacteriia; Fusobacteriales; Fusobacteriaceae.